GACGAACGCUGGCGGCGUGCCUAAUACAUGCAAGUUGAGCGCUGAAGGUUGGUACUUGUACCGACUGGAUGAGCAGCGAACGGGUGAGUAACGCGUGGGGAAUCUGCCUUUGAGCGGGGGACAACAUUUGGAAACGAAUGCUAAUACCGCAUAAAAACUUUAAACACAAGUUUUAAGUUUGAAAGAUGCAAUUGCAUCACUCAAAGAUGAUCCCGCGUUGUAUUAGCUAGUUGGUGAGGUAAAGGCUCACCAAGGCGAUGAUACAUAGCCGACCUGAGAGGGUGAUCGGCCACAUUGGGACUGAGACACGGCCCAAACUCCUACGGGAGGCAGCAGUAGGGAAUCUUCGGCAAUGGACGAAAGUCUGACCGAGCAACGCCGCGUGAGUGAAGAAGGUUUUCGGAUCGUAAAACUCUGUUGGUAGAGAAGAACGUUGGUGAGAGUGGAAAGCUCAUCAAGUGACGGUAACUACCCAGAAAGGGACGGCUAGCUACGUG
RNAcentral lists this ribosomal RNA (497 nucleotides) under uncultured bacterium. RNAcentral's name for it is "partial 16S ribosomal RNA". It matches the Rfam family "Bacterial small subunit ribosomal RNA", at positions 28 to 507 of the family's 1533-position model. The record is from RNAcentral.